CUUAAAGUAAUGAUGGACUGUCAUUUCUCUUUGCUCAUUUGUACUGUUGUUGCCAUAAUAUGGACUUGGUCUUUUACCAAAUAGGGCUGUCUUCUGUAUACCACCUUGUCACAACACAACUGAUUGGCUCAAACGCAUUAAGGAAAGAAAUUCCACAAAUUAACUUUUAACAAGGCACACCUGUUAAUUGAAAUGCAUUCUAGGUGACUGCCUCAUGAAGAUGGUUUAGAGAAUGCCAAGAGUGUGCAAAGAUGUCAUCAAGAAGCCAUAGAGGGGAAUACUAAAACCCCAAAGGACAAGGUGAAUGCAACGAACGCCCCAAACAAGGCAUCGGGGGCAAGCACCUUGACACUUCCGUUUUUGCUGCAGUUGGGACUGAUGGUUGCACCUGCCUUACUUCAAACUCUGCUGUAGCACUUGCUAUGCUCUCCUUCCACAAGACUCUGCAGAACUUCUGCAAGAACGGGGGCAACAACAUAACAAUAGCUUUAAUGACUAGGCCUACUAUAUUUACCUGUACUGUAGACCCUAGCUGACCCGUUUCCAUGACUGAACACCAUGAUAUUCUUAACCCAAAUGACCUUGUAAUAAUCAUACAGAAACAGA
This 606-nucleotide long non-coding RNA is filed under the name Salmo salar (Atlantic salmon). Its description in RNAcentral is "lncRNA (ENSSSAG00000105066.1)". Lineage: Eukaryota; Metazoa; Chordata; Actinopteri; Salmoniformes; Salmonidae. The record is from RNAcentral.